UGCCCUACGGGGGGCAGCAGUGGGGAAUAUUGCACAAUGGGGGAAACCCUGAUGCAGCAACGCCGCGUGAGUGAAGAAGUAUUUCGGUAUGUAAAGCUCUAUCAGCAGGGAAGAAAAUGACGGUACCUGAGUAAGAAGCCCCGGCUAACUACGUGCCAGCAGCCGCGGUAAUACGUAGGGGGCAAGCGUUAUCCGGAUUUACUGGGUGUAAAGGGUGCGUAGGCGGCCCUGCAAGUCAGAAGUGAAAUCCAUGGGCUUAACCCGUGAACUGCUUUUGAAACUGCAGGACUUGAGUGGAGUAGAGG
This 305-nucleotide ribosomal RNA is filed under the name uncultured bacterium. RNAcentral describes it as "bacterial SSU rRNA". It matches the Rfam family "Bacterial small subunit ribosomal RNA", at positions 335 to 657 of the family's 1533-position model. The record is from RNAcentral.